RNAcentral lists this microRNA (22 nucleotides) under Schmidtea mediterranea. RNAcentral describes it as "sme-miR-2205-5p". Lineage: Eukaryota; Metazoa; Platyhelminthes; Tricladida; Dugesiidae. The record is from miRBase by way of RNAcentral.
UGGAUAGUGAGUAAAGCGGUGA